ACGGGUGAGUAAUGCUUAUCUUACCUACCGUUUAGUGGGGGAUAAAAUACCGCAUGUUCUUGGGCUUCGGCCCAAGGAAAGGGAGUCUUCGGACUUUCGCUAAAUGAGGGGGAUAAGUCGUAUCAGCUUGUUGGUGAGGUAAUGGCUCACCAAGGCAAUGACGCGUAGCCAGGCUGAGAGGCUGAUUGGCCACAAGGAACUGAGACAAGGUCCUACUCCUACGGGAGGCAGCAAUGGGGAAUCGUCGGCGAUGGGGGCAACCCUGACCGCGCAAUACUACGUGAAGGAGGAAGGUCUACGGAUUGUAAACUUCUAUGGGUAGCAAUACCCUGAAAAAGCCACGACUAACUACGUGCCAGCAGUCGCGGUAAGACGUAGGUGGCAAACGUUAUCCGGAAUUAUUGGGCGUAAAGGGUGCGUAGAUGGCAUGAUAAGUUAUUGGUGGUAAAUCGAGGCUCAACCUCGUGGAAGCUGGUAAUACUGUUAUGCUCGAGUGCAGAAGAGGUUAACGGAACUCCCUGUGGAGCGGUAAAAUGUGAAGAUAUAGGGAAGAACACCAAUAACGGCGAAGGCAGUUAACUAUUCUGUUACUGACAUUGAGGCACGAAAGCGUGGGGAGCAAAACGGAUUAGAUACCCGUGUAGUCCACGCCCUAAACGAUGAGUACUAGAUAUUGGGAACUUGAUUCUCAGUGUCGCUAGGUAACCCGGUAAGCACUCCGCCUGGGGAGUACGCUCGCAAGAGUGAAACUUAAAGGAAUUGACGGGGACUCGCACAAGCAGUGGAGCAUGUGGUUUAAUCCGAUACAACGCGUAGAACCUUACCAAGGCUUGACAUGUUCGGCAAAACUGUGGAAACACAGCGGAGGUUAUCCGGACACAGGUGCUGCAUGGCCGUCGUCAGUUCGUGCCGUGAGGUGUAUGGUUAAGUCCUAUAACGAACGCAACCCUUGGGCUUAGUUGCCAGCAUUAAGUUGGGGACUCUAAGCCGACUGCCUGAGUAAUCAGGAGAAGGAAAGGAUGACGUCUGGUCGUC
RNAcentral lists this ribosomal RNA (1035 nucleotides) under uncultured bacterium. RNAcentral describes it as "bacterial SSU rRNA". It matches the Rfam family "Bacterial small subunit ribosomal RNA", at positions 102 to 1194 of the family's 1533-position model. The record is from RNAcentral.